CUGUGCAAACCAGAGUAGGUGGGCGUAGGAGAACUGGUGGGCCCAGGACACUAUCUUGUCCAGGCUCCCUGUCUGUUGGAUCUCAAGGGCAUGCCAAAAGAGCUAGUGGGUAGGGGGCCCUGGGAAGCUGUCCACAGCCCUGGUGAGAAACUGCCUCCGCAUCAGCAGACCAAUGAGCUUCAGGAAGCCUAAGACCAAGAUCAGUCCAGAAGCCCACAGA
Molecule: long non-coding RNA, 220 nt
Organism: Phyllostomus discolor (pale spear-nosed bat)
Lineage: Eukaryota; Metazoa; Chordata; Mammalia; Chiroptera; Phyllostomidae
Exons: 3
Source: RefSeq, a predicted model, not a curated record